AGGUUUGGUAUGAAUGAUUGUUUUGUCUGUAGCAGCAUUCUGGAUUGUGAAUGACCAUGACAUAAAAUUCUUGUUUUUUCAUCUAGUUCUUUAUCGAUUCUUUGAUAUGGUGAAUUAGUACUAUAUAUGCAAGUUACCACAAUUGCGCGAUUGACAUAGAUGAAAUAGUGGGUGAUCCAGUUUCGGUAGAUCCAAUUGCAUGUACUCUUGUUUAUGUUCUUGAUUAGAUCAAUUGGUCAACAUAAGCGAAAGAGAUUUUAAUUCAUGUGUAUUUUCAUGUACGGCAACCAAAUUCCUGCUUGGUCCAGAGCGAUGCAUCACAUAAUUUGCUUGUUUUAGUUAUCACACAUGACCUGUUGUUCAUGUAACUGCAAAUUCGAGUUAUAUUUAUUCCAAUUAAAGCUGGUGAUUGCUUCUUAAUACAUGUUAAAGGCAUCUCGGCAUAUUUUUUUGUACACAAGUUAAACUAAUCGCAGAAAAUAAAUGCUUCUUUGCCAUUAAGUAUGUGAGUGUUCCUAAUUGGAUAGUUUUCUGUAUCAAGAAAAUUUUGUUGGCUUGCCUUUUACUGGCCGUUGACAAUGAUUUAUGUGGUUAGCUGUUACUUAUAAAUAAAGUCACAUGAGACAAUCUUCCCGUUAUGUAUAGUCUGAAGAUUGAUGUCGCAUACUCUGUCCUGCCUCUCAGUUAUAAUCUGAAGAGCUGAAUGAUCUUCUGCCUUUGUACUAGCCAUUUUGAAUUGUUUAAAAGUUGCAUGGCAUCCUAGGUAGUCAUAUUUUCAAUUAAGGUAUGCUUGGCAGAUAGAUUAAUUAAUCUCCAAUUCGGAUAUGAAAUUACUUUAGUUUUUUAUGGAAUUAAAAGAUACUAUUUGUAGUGAUGAUUUUGAAUCAAUCUCGUAGUUUCUUAUACCCGUUGGAAGCAUGAAGUCCUAUUUAUUUUACAUCCUUUUGUAGUUCAUAUACCUCUCUGAGUCUCCGUAGACCAACUGUAGCAAGUUUUUAGAAUAGUUCAACUGCAGUUUGUCAGUAUCUAGUUUCAAAAGGUAUAAAAAAUGCUACUAGCCGGUGGAGUUAUAUGGUCCUUGCGCCUGUGGUUUGCUAGCCAGUAAUACUUCUUAUCAUUUGAUACAUUAGUGGCUCUAAAGAUAAUACAUGCAUCGACAAUUUAUCACUGAAAGGAAAUCUUAUUUAUCAAGUUCCCAGUUCUGCUGGGUAUGCAGAUUUGACAUCUGUUUUGGUACAUUCUUACAACAAACCUAUGUUGUUAAUUGGUCUUUGAUUGUUCAAACAUAUAUAUGGAUAGAUAACUAGCCUCAUGCUUUCCAGACUGAUUGUUCAAUAAUAUGGACAUGUGACCUGAAUUAUGGACUAGAUAUGUCCAGCUAACGAUAUUAUGCAGUCCUCCUGUACUUAAGUUAAUCUAUUUUAUCUGUUAUCGCAUCUAUAUCUUUUUUACAAGGCUUGGUAUGCUGAUUUACUUCUUUCUCGGAGCUUGUUCGCACUGCUAGAAGUUCCAUGGUACUUUGAAUCUUGCAACGUUGAUUUUGGUCAUUACUCCAAUGAUAAAAAACAAUUGUUUCCUAGUGUCGGUUCACGUUGCUACAAACCUAGCAUUUGCACGUGUUUGCUACGGAAAUCCAAGUUCUGCCAUCAGUUUUCAGCCUUUGGCAAAUCCUAACAGCCGGCUAUCCGUACCACUUUUCAGAAUAACUUUAAAUCCUAAUCUGAAUAUCUUUUUACUUUGAUGACUCUCAGGGUUUGCCAAAGGCUGGUAUUUGGUUGCAUUUUCAGGUCUUUCUGCUGCUGGUGACGCUGCAGCUCCGUCUGAUGGAGAUUUAACUCCAUUUGGCGUAUUUUGUAACAAACCUGCAAGAAGAAAUGUCAUGAUCGUGAUGAGGCAUUCGAGUUCAAGACCGAUGAUUAGCAAGUGCUUUGAAGGCUUGACAUUAUAGUGCGGGAAGUCACUGACAAGGUGUUGCUAACUCAUGAGGUGUCCUCCAAAAUGCCAUGCAGCAGAAUGAAAACUGCAAAAAAUAAUUAUACCGAGUCAUGUAAUUCACUAUAAGUUUGAAGAUUAAUUCUUUUAUUUUUAUUAGCCACGCUGGUUUGUAUUUUAUGAGCACCUGAGACUAUGUGGUAAUUCUUUCUGACACAUGCAUCUACUUUACAUUCCUUGAA
Long non-coding RNA from Lolium rigidum, 2174 nucleotides. RefSeq lists it as uncharacterized. The record is from RefSeq and is a predicted model, not a curated record. Lineage: Eukaryota; Viridiplantae; Streptophyta; Magnoliopsida; Poales; Poaceae. The transcript has 2 exons.